RNAcentral lists this ribosomal RNA (27 nucleotides) under Daucus guttatus. RNAcentral's name for it is "partial 5.8S ribosomal RNA". The record is from RNAcentral. RNAcentral also lists the same sequence under 1 other name. Lineage: Eukaryota; Viridiplantae; Streptophyta; Magnoliopsida; Apiales; Apiaceae.
AAAAUGACUCUCGGCAACGGAUAUCCC